AGCUUUGCACAGUGGCAGUAUCAUAGCCAAUGAGGUUUAUCUGAGGCACGAUUAUUGCUAAUUGAAAACAAUUACAUUUUAGUGUGAGAAAAAUCAUUAUCUUUGACAAAAAAGAAAAAUUUCUGAUUUUGCAAUCAAC
Molecule: small nuclear RNA, 139 nt
Organism: Tupaia belangeri (northern tree shrew)
Lineage: Eukaryota; Metazoa; Chordata; Mammalia; Scandentia; Tupaiidae
Gene: U4
Rfam family: U4 spliceosomal RNA
About the family: U4 small nuclear RNA (U4 snRNA) is a component of the major U2-dependent spliceosome.
Source: Ensembl